RNAcentral lists this ribosomal RNA (164 nucleotides) under Canna liliiflora. RNAcentral's name for it is "5.8S ribosomal RNA". It matches the Rfam family "5.8S ribosomal RNA". From Rfam's summary of the family: 5.8S ribosomal RNA (5.8S rRNA) is a component of the large subunit of the eukaryotic ribosome. The record is from RNAcentral. Lineage: Eukaryota; Viridiplantae; Streptophyta; Magnoliopsida; Zingiberales; Cannaceae.
CAAACGACUCUCGGCAACGGAUAUCUCGGCUCUCGCAUCGAUGAAGAACGUAGCGAAAUGCGAUACCUGGUGUGAAUUGCAGAAUCCCGCGAACCUUCGAGUCUUUGAACGCAAGUUGCGCCCGAGGCCUUCGGGUCGAGGGCACGCCUGCCUGGGCGUCACGC